ACUUGGUAUGAAAAAUUCAGUAGGUGAAAGUGUGAAAUCAGUGGUAGAAUUUUGCCGUAAUGUGCUGUCGUGGACGCCAUGAUAUGUUGGUUAACAUUGAAGAGAACUCGCCAAUUGGGAUGUUCAAAAGGCAGGGUUGCAUUUAGCCGAAUGCAUAAAAAAGUAUUACUUCUUCUCACGGAGCGGACAUAUUGAGAGAUAUGGGUUUUUUGUUAAGUUGGUGGGAAAAGGUGUAUGGGAGUAAUUGAGUUAACCCGGUAAGGAAUUUUUUUUCGCAGUUUUUAAUUUUCAACUAGUUUCAUCAUCAAACAAGCUAGUUAACCAUUAUAGCCAGAUAUGUGGCUAACCCUGUCAUUGUUUACAUUGCGACUGCUGGAAAUUUUUUGUUUGUGGUGUUUCUCAAUGCCGCCUGUAUCCGGGUUUGGAAAAAUGGGACACAUCAGAAUGCUUCAGAUGUUGCAAUUAGCAACUCACAUACUAUCCUCAUCGCAGGAUUUGCGCGUUGCUAAUUGCAAAUUACUAACACAGCUAAAGAUUUUGUUUUCAAUUGCAA
This is a non-coding RNA of Schizosaccharomyces pombe (fission yeast), 553 nucleotides long. NCBI's taxonomy places the organism in Eukaryota, Fungi, Ascomycota, Schizosaccharomycetes, Schizosaccharomycetales, Schizosaccharomycetaceae. The record is from the annotation of a GenBank genome assembly.